This 256-nucleotide ribosomal RNA is filed under the name uncultured bacterium. Its description in RNAcentral is "partial 16S ribosomal RNA". It matches the Rfam family "Bacterial small subunit ribosomal RNA", at positions 524 to 776 of the family's 1533-position model. The record is from RNAcentral.
UACGUAGGGUGCGAGCGUUGUCCGGAAUUAUUGGGCGUAAAGAGCUCGUAGGCGGUUUGUCGCGUCUGCUGUGAAAUCCCGAGGCUCAACCUCGGGCCUGCAGUGGGUACGGGCAGACUAGAGUGCGGUAGGGGGAGACUGGAAUUCCUGGUGUAGCGGUGAAAUGCGCAGAUAUCAGGAGGAACACCGAUGGCGAAGGCAGGUCUCUGGGCAUUAACUGACGCUGAGGAGCGAAAAGCAUGGGGGAGCGAACAGG